Molecule: ribosomal RNA, 495 nt
Filed under: uncultured bacterium
Lineage: Bacteria
Description: partial 16S ribosomal RNA
Rfam family: Bacterial small subunit ribosomal RNA
Source: RNAcentral
GACGAACGCUGGCGGCGUGCCUAAUACAUGCAAGUAGAACGCUGAAGGAGGAGCUUGCUCUUCUGGAUGAGUUGCGAACGGGUGAGUAACGCGUAGGUAACCUGCCUGGUAGCGGGGGAUAACUAUUGGAAACGAUAGCUAAUACCGCAUAACAGUAGAUGUUGCAUGACAUUUACUUAAAAGGUGCAAUUGCAUCACUACCAGAUGGACCUGCGUUGUAUUAGCUAGUUGGUGGGGUAACGGCUCACCAAGGCGACGAUACAUAGCCGACCUGAGAGGGUGAUCGGCCACACUGGGACUGAGACACGGCCCAGACUCCUACGGGAGGCAGCAGUAGGGAAUCUUCGGCAAUGGACGGAAGUCUGACCGAGCAACGCCGCGUGAGUGAAGAAGGUUUUCGGACCGUAAAGCUCUGUUGUAAGAGAAGAACGAGUGUGAGAGUGGAAAGUUCACACUGUGACGGUAUCUUACCAGAAAGAGACGGCUAACUACGUG